Molecule: ribosomal RNA, 253 nt
Filed under: uncultured bacterium
Lineage: Bacteria
Description: partial 16S ribosomal RNA
Rfam family: Bacterial small subunit ribosomal RNA
Source: RNAcentral
UACGUAGGGCGCAAGCGUUGUCCGGAAUUAUUGGGCGUAAAGAGCUCGUAGGCGGCUUGUCACGUCGGGUGUGAAAGCCCGGGGCUUAACCCCGGGUCUGCAUUCGAUACGGGCAGGCUAGAGUGUGGUAGGGGAGAUCGGAAUUCCUGGUGUAGCGGUGAAAUGCGCAGAUAUCAGGAGGAACACCGGUGGCGAAGGCGGGUCUCUGGGCAGUAACUGACGCUGAGGAACGAAAGCGUGGGUAGCAAACAGG